RNAcentral lists this long non-coding RNA (1290 nucleotides) under Ananas comosus (pineapple). RNAcentral describes it as "long non-coding RNA (ACOM_LNC008527)". Lineage: Eukaryota; Viridiplantae; Streptophyta; Magnoliopsida; Poales; Bromeliaceae. The record is from RNAcentral.
CCGUUUGCAAUAGUAUUAAUAGUAUCAAGUACUUGAUGCUAUCCAAUUUUUCACUAUAAAAUCUAUCUAUGAUCAAUGUUAUCUAUUAGAUUAUGUUAUUCUACCAACAACGUACUAAACUCUAGAUGGACCACAAUUAAACCCUAGGGGGAUCACUAUUAUCUCAACUUUAUAAUUUUUUAUUCAAAAGUUAAACACCAAAGAGUAUCCACAGCUGAUUACUAUUAAAAUAUUCCAACCCAACUAUAUAUAUAUAUAUAGGCUGGGGCUACUAUACUCAUAUGAGUAUAGAGCCAUUUGUACUCAUAAGUUUUCGACCGUUCAGAUGAAAAAAUAUGCGAUUAGGAUGAAAAGGGUUACGGUUAGGUUGAUAGUGGGCCCCCUAGGGUUGAGUGGUGGUUGGUUGAAUAGUAUAAUCUAACGGGUGAAAGUGAUUAAAGGGUAUAUCUAACGGCUAAAAACUUAUGAGUACAAUAGGCUCUAUACUCAUAAAAGUAUAGUAGCCGGACUCUAUAUAUAUAUAUAUAGAGAGAGAGAGAGAGAGAGAGAGAGAGAGAGAAAUCCAACUACUAUAUUAUCAGUAGCACGAAGGCUUUCGUGCUACCAAGUUGUUUUUUAUUAUACGGCUUCUAAAUCGACGAUCGAUUCUAUUAAAUAUGAUCUACACUACUAAAUUCAUAUUAAUUUUUUUGAUAUAAUUUGACUAGUGAUCAAAAAGUCACAAAAUUGACAAUUUUAUUGGCCGAUCUGAUGCGUUUGUAAAUUUAACAAUAUAACAAUUCAAAUUUGAUGAAAUUUUUAUAGAAAAUUCUCUUCACUGUCUAGAGUAAGAUAAGUACCUAUGAUCUUAAAUUCAAUUUUUUUAUCGUCAUCUUUUAUGAGAUUUUUAUUUUCAAUCGUUUAUUUUUAGAUUACUCAUUUGAUAGGUAAAUGAUGUCGAAAAUUAUAAAAUUUGGCUUUAAAAUUCUUUCAAUAGUGUAGAUCAUGUCUAAUAGAGCCGACUAUCAAUUCGGAAGUUGCAUCAUCGAAAAUAACUUGGUAACACGCAAGUUUCCGUGCUACCGAUAGUAUAGUAACCGAAAAGUACCAAGUUACUGGUGCUUGUAGAUUUUUGGCAUUGGAUUAAGGGAUGUGCGGUUAGAAUGAUGUGGGACCUCUAGGGUUGAGUGGGUGGUUAGUUGAAUAGUAUUAUCUAACGGUGGAAAUGAUUAAAAUGGUAGAUCUAACGGUAAAAAAAUUUACAAGCACCAAGUGCUUGGUGCUUUUACAUGCACCAUAGCCGGACUAUAU